UCACUCCACUGCUUUUCUAGAUAGAAGAGGACAACCUUCCCAGAUAGAGGAGGACCAGUUUUCAGUCAAGGGUAUACAAGUAGCUGUGCUCCCCUGAUAGUACCUCCAAACAAAAUUCACUUUAAACUUCUUUUUCACAUAGUACAAUUUAGAAUACUUAAAUGGGCACUCUAAC
Molecule: small RNA, 175 nt
Filed under: Cricetulus griseus (Chinese hamster)
Lineage: Eukaryota; Metazoa; Chordata; Mammalia; Rodentia; Cricetidae
Description: 7SK RNA (ENSCGRG00000022062.1)
Rfam family: 7SK RNA
About the family: 7SK was discovered as an abundant small nuclear RNA in the mid-70s but a possible function has only recently been suggested. Two independent studies have found that 7SK RNA binds the CDK9/cyclin T complex (known as elongation factor P-TEFb).
Source: RNAcentral